AGGCAGCAGUGAGGAAUAUUGGUCAAUGGCCCGGAAGGCUGAACCAGCCAAGCCGCGUGAAGGACGAAGGUGCCAAGCAUUGUAAACUUCUUUUGUCAAGGGACAAAAUCAGGCUCGAGAGCCUGACCGAGGGUACUUGAAGAAAAAGCAUCGGCUAACUCCGUGCC
RNAcentral lists this ribosomal RNA (167 nucleotides) under uncultured bacterium. RNAcentral describes it as "partial 16S ribosomal RNA". It matches the Rfam family "Bacterial small subunit ribosomal RNA", at positions 346 to 509 of the family's 1533-position model. The record is from RNAcentral.